GAUGAACGCUAGCGGCAGGCUUAAUACAUGCAAGUCGUGGGGCAGCGCGGGUAGCAAUACCUGGCGGCGACCGGCAAACGGGUGCGGAACACGUACGCAACCUUCCUUUAAGCGGGGAAUAGCCCAGGGAAACUUGGAUUAAUACCCCAUAGUACGAUUGAGUGGCAUCACUUGAUUGUUAAAGCUCCGGCACUUAAAGAUGGGCGUGCGGCUGAUUAGGUAGUUGGCGGGGUAAUAGCCCACCAAGCCGACGAUCAGUAACUGGUGUGA
Molecule: ribosomal RNA, 270 nt
Filed under: uncultured bacterium
Lineage: Bacteria
Description: partial 16S ribosomal RNA
Rfam family: Bacterial small subunit ribosomal RNA
Source: RNAcentral